RNAcentral lists this ribosomal RNA (253 nucleotides) under uncultured bacterium. Its description in RNAcentral is "partial 16S ribosomal RNA". It matches the Rfam family "Bacterial small subunit ribosomal RNA", at positions 524 to 776 of the family's 1533-position model. The record is from RNAcentral.
UACAGAGGUCCCGAGCGUUGUUCGGAUUUACUGGGCGUAAAGGGUGCGUAGGUGGUGGACUAAGUCGGGUGUGAAAUCUCCGGGCUCAACCCGGAGGGUGCGCCCGAAACUGGUCCGCUCGAGGGUGGGAGGGGGGACUGGAAUUCUCGGUGUAGCAGUGAAAUGCGUAGAUAUCGAGAGGAACACCCGUGGCGAAGGCGAGUCCCUGGACCACUCCUGACACUGAGGCACGAAAGCCGGGGGAGCAAACAGG